GUAUAAGUCCGCUAGUGUCCGCACACAGCAGCUCAGUCAGUCCCAGACACAGCUGCAGUGCUGAGUACUAAGGGCGGUGCUUAGCCUGUAGCACGGGGCGAACGUCGAGUUUUCGGUUGGAAAGAAGCUCUUGAUUUGGCGAAAGACUCGGAGUUUACUCUCUCCUUUUUUCUACGUGGAGCGGAUAUAAACACGGUUGACUGCCAGCAGAUGAACUAACUCUGUUAUCACCGGGACUACAAAUGAUGAACUGUCUUUUGUAAAAACGUAGAAUGUGCAUGUUCGGAAGGAAACCCUCAAUACAUUCAUUUUAAGAACCUUCCCUCAAGUAUUGGAACUUCAGGAUUUUAAUAGCAAGGAAGGAUUCUCCUCUGACGUCUUCCUCAAGUUGAUGGUACAAAAACACCAGGUGAAUGGAAGACGACCCAAUAUGAACAUCCUAUCUUACUAAAAGUUUUGGCUGAAUGCAGAAAGAAUGAAGAAAGGACUCCAGUGCUACCCAAUGAACCUCAUCACACAUUAUCCAAUGGGGAAAAGUCUUCUUGGGCCUUUAAUCACAGGGAGAAAAUAGAUGUCAGAAACCCUCAGAAAGUUCUAAAACAAACUACAAUUGUACAACAAAUGUUGCAAAGUCACCAUGCCAUUAGUGAGAAAGAAAUACUUCCUUCCAAAAUAAAUUAUUUGUCCAAUGAAAACAAAUUUAAACAAUCUCAAAAUGUCGUGACCAAACAAAAGGAAGAAAAAAUGUGCUCUCAGAAAAGUUUCAAUUUGGAGGAUGCACCCCAAAGUUGUUCAAAGAAGUCCCCCAUUGUAUUUAAAGACCCAAUGCAUGAAGACGUUUCAGAUGUUGAAAACCACAAACAGCCGGACAAAAAGCUGGCAAGCCCAGGUUUUGACGAAUCUAGCAAUUCUGUAGUGUGUGAGGAUGACAGUGCUGAGGAAGAGAGUUUUCCAGAUCACUCCCCCAUUGUAUUAAAAUACCCAAUGUAUGAAGAUAUUUCAGACAUUGAAGACAACAAACAGCUGGGCAAAAAGCUUGCAAGCCAAGAUUUCUGUACUAAGAAAGAGAGACCUUUGAAACAGAAUGGAUUCACGUGUAAUGAAACAGAUAUUCAGCUAAUUUCAGAUGAUGAACCGAUUCCAGACACAGAAUCUACUGAUACUGGACCAAAUUGUUGUUGUCCAUAUUUAGUUGAAACAGAAACUGGUUUUGAGUGUCCAAAAUGUCAAAACAAAAAAGGAGCUUUGUUUUCUAGUCAGAGUAAGAGUCUGGAUACAAAAUCCUUAUCAUUUUCUGAAGGUGUAAAGGCCAAUUUGGAUGGGCAAACCAGCCCAGUAUUAAUUUUAGAAAAUAAUGACCAAGAUGAUCUAGAAGAUGAUUGGCUUGUCAUUCCUUUGGUUGUAUCUGACAUUAGAUUGGAUCAACCCUGUGAAGACCAAACUGAAACAGAAGUUCUGUCAGCUCAAGGUGAAGAUGGAGAUGAGGAAAAAAAAGGUUGGGGAACUCCAUUGAACUUUUCAGCUUCCAACUCUUUUCAUCAGUCUCAAUAUUUUAAUACAGCUGAGAGCUGUGGGCAGGUGCAAGAUGUAGGACAUGAGCAUAAAGCGCAUAUUUCCAUGAGCUGUGAUAAUUCUGACCUUCAUUCAGAUACUAGCAAUGAAACUGAUGACAGUUGCAAUUAUUCCCCUACUCGAGAGCGAAACCUUUUAACUGUACCCAGGCAGAUUUGGGCUUCAAGAAGUUUGUCAUCACCAUUACAAUUGAAUAAUGAUUUCCACCUUGAAGAAAAGCAUGGACAUGAGAUGACAAACACUCAAAGAGUGAAACUACAAAAUAAAACCCCAAAGAUAUUUGAUACAAUUGAAUCUCAUUCAGAUGAAGUCAGUGAAAUAAGGAACGAGGCAAGAAAAAAUCCUUCAAAUGAAAAGAGAGAAUUAAUUGGUUCUUCUGUGACUAAUAUUGUCAGUUAUGAAGAUGCUAGCACUGAAACUUCUGGAAAGACGACUAACUUGUCAGUGGAUGCUGGAAGCUCUUCAGGUGUUAAGCUUGGGAAGAAAAAUGCAAACAAGUAUCAGCAUGAUCCAUUUGAAAAUGGCAUGCAAUCGGAAGCAUCUGGAUUUCAAUUCGAUAAAAUUGAUGGACAAUGUCAUGAAGUCAAAUCUUCGAGCAAUUAUGCUUUGCCUGUUAAGAAUGCUACCAAAGCCUACAAGAGGAAACAAAAGGCCAUCAGUAGACAUGCAAAGAAAGUGAGGGCUCACUCACCAUUCUCGGCAGCAACGGAGGACACUGAGGAUGCCUGUUCCAAUGCUUCAGACAGUUUUGGUGGGGAAAGUAAAGAUGACAGCGUGGCGCAUGAUAAACUAGCAGGAGUUAAACACGAAACACAGACACUUUUGAAAAGAAUGAGUGAGCUCACCAAAGAACAACCAAAAGCUCCUAUAAAAAAACCAAAACCACUGGACUCAUCAGAAAACGAAACCGAAGACAGUGAGGAUUUAUCGGAUGCAUCAGACAAUAUUUCAAAUACCAAAAAAAAUCAAAUUAAACCCAUGAUUGAAAAAUGUGGAUUUCAAGCUAACAAAAAUGAACAGGCUUCCAACCAGUGUGUGGAACAGUGUCUACCAUCAACAUCAAAGCUUUUAGAUAACACUUUCAAAUCAAAGCCAGAGUUAAAGUCUUGCCAAGGUAUAUCUGGAUCUCGACCACAAAUGUCUAAAUAUAUUCGUUCCUUCUCUUACCCCUCAUCUUCAGGUCGUUGUAUCACACUAUCAGCAAAUGAUAAAGUGAAAGAAAGUUGGAAAGAAGGCCACAUUGAAACCAAAAUCCACAGAAGGGCGAGAUUAGGGAGAGAAGAUAUGACAUCCAAAAUGAAUUUGGUCAGCAAACUUGCUCCCAGUACCAGCAAAUUUUCAAGGGCACCAAAAAAAAGGCACAAUUCCCAGAAGUCUGAAACGCCCUUAAUGAAGAAGACAAGAUCUGAGGCAAAAGAGAGGACCAGAGAAAUUAAAUGUCACCGUUUAAAGCACCAAAGGUAAUCCAGUUGCUCGCCAUAACAAGUGGAAAGAACCCGAAGACAAAGCUGUUUCCAGGAGGAAAAAAAGAUGUCCCUCCCCCUCACUGCUUGAGGACUAGGAAUAACAAUUUUACAAGCUCAAGUAUGAAUACGACUGUUUAAAGCUGUAAAGGGAAGUUGGUGUCAUUCCCUCUUAUUUAUCAACGUGGACUCUGAUUUAAGUUUCUGUAUGUCUGUAUAUAAUUUCAUCCCUUGGUGUAUUUGGUUCCUAUGUUUUUGAAAAAGUACAUUAAUUGUACAUGUUGAAAUGAUUUGCUCUGUUGUAAUAAUUGUUCAUACUUGUAGACUUUUACUUUUUUAUUGUAUUUUUUUACUUCUGUAUUGUCAACUCUUAUGACAGUGUUUGAAUUUUAUAAUUAAAAUAUACUGUUUUAUUCAUAGACCCACUAAACUAAAAGCAGGAUUUUUUUUAAAUUUUCUUCCUGUAUUUUACCCCGACAACAUGAAUGAAAUCAAUAUUUGGGGAAUGGAUAUCCUUUUAGUAAAGCAGAAAGACCUUGGUGUUUCUAUAUGUCUGACUAUUACUAGCCUUCACUGGUUAAAAAAAAAAUAAUACUAGUAAAUAAAAAAGCCAGGAAGAGAGAAGAAAAAAAUAGG
This is a long non-coding RNA of Gouania willdenowi (blunt-snouted clingfish), 3671 nucleotides long. Ensembl lists it as uncharacterized. Lineage: Eukaryota; Metazoa; Chordata; Actinopteri; Blenniiformes; Gobiesocidae. The record is from Ensembl.